Molecule: unclassified non-coding RNA, 926 nt
Filed under: Hevea brasiliensis (rubber tree)
Lineage: Eukaryota; Viridiplantae; Streptophyta; Magnoliopsida; Malpighiales; Euphorbiaceae
Source: RNAcentral
GUGUAGUCCGGCAUGAUAGUACCGUUCACUGUGAUGAUCCUUCUGAUAUUGAAAAGCAGAGUGGGGAGAUCAGCAAUCAUGACUUAGCUACUGAAAGAGUGGAUCAAUCUGUACUCACCAUAGUGGUUCCUGCAAGCGAAUCAAUCAACUCCCAGGAUCCAACAUUAAUCACAGACCCAGUUGGGAACAUUUCCACCAUUGUAGAGUCUCCUAAGAAGCCUUACUUAUCCAGGAAUCAUAGCUUUCAGGAACAAUGCAGAGUAUGUCAAGAGGAAAAAGAGGAAGAAUUGAUCGAUCUUGGAUGCCACUGUCGUGGUGGAUUGGCAAAAGCACAUCGGACAUGCAUAGAUACAUGGUUUAGUACUAGAGGUUCAAAUAAAUGUGAAAUAUGCCAGCAAGUAGCUGUAAAUGUGGCAUCUCCAGAGGCUCAUGCACCUACAAGUUACUGGAUUUGGAGAGUCGAUCCUUCUUUUAGGGGGACAAAUAUUUCCCAAGAGCGGAAUAGAGGUUGUCUUAAUCCACUUUGGGUUGCGUUUUGUAUCCUCAUUGGCGGUCUGUUUCUGGAUGUGUUAAUAUCAAUUACGCUUGGAGUCUCUGCACUGCCUGUGAACAUCAUAAUCGGGGUAAUAGUUGUGCUGGGACUCGGAACAGCUCUUCGGCUUGCCCUUGAGUUCUGCCAUGAUCGGAGUAUCAGAAGUGUAGUUCACCGGUUAGAAGGAAACGUCAGUCUUGGAUAUCAUCCUACGGUAUAAUUGUUCAUACACCCUGAAAACAUUGAAAUUUAUCCAGCCUGCAACUUGAAAGAUUUGUUGGAGCCAGUAUUUUUUUAGAUGACAAUUUCUGAUUGAUAACGUACUUUACCCAUUGUAUUUAUUUCGUUUGAGGAUGCAGUGUGCAGUUUGACAUCUUGUUUUGCAGCUUUGAUA